UGAAAAUUGAGUGAGACAAGUAAAUAGCCAAAAAUCGGUCAGAUACAAUUUACUCUCUUUCUCUUUCUUCUACUCAUCUUCUCUUUCUCUCAUGUUCAUUUCUCUCAUCUUACUCUUCAUGAUACCUGAAAGAAAGAGAGAGAAAGAGAAAGGGAGGGAUAAUGAAGAUAACUAAUUCAAGUUUCAAGCCGAAGAUAUUGCAAAAGAUUGAGUGGCUGAAGCUGGCGCUGUAAACUCCAUUACCAGGAAGACCAACAGUAAGACUGGUAAAGAGAGUAGGAUGAUAAGGUUGGUUCUUCUUUCUCACCAUUCUCAUCAUCAUCAUCAACAACAACAACUACAUCAACAUUAACAUCAUUUUCCUCAUCAUCGUCUUCUAAAUCGUGGUAAAUAUCAAUUCUCCUCCGCCCAAUGUUUUCAGUUUUAUCACUUGUUUGCUAUCUUUAUUCACAUGCUUUAUAUAAUUUAUUGUAUCAACCAUCUUCUCGAUCAUUUAUCCUCCUUCCAACUUAAUCCCAUCUUGUUUAUUGGUCACAAAAACAGUUUAUCUUGUCUAGUAUAUUGCAUGCAAUGGAGGAUCAGCUGAAUGGCAGUUCGCUAGGUAACUUGCUAUUACCAGAAGCCUUUGGACACGAUUUUUUGAUUACAGGCCAAUGUGAAGCUGUUGAUAACCUUAAGGGAGACGUCGAGGGUGAUUUGGAUGAACGAUUAAAGCAAUUGGACAAGAUGACAAAGGUCAAAGCCAAGAUGACCUGAAAGGAGCAGAUUUGUGGAUUAAUGGUCGCCAUUCAUCUCAUGUCAUUUUAACACUUGCAAGAUGAUAUUGAUUGUUAGCUUAAGGUUGAUUGAGUUUACUAAUUUAGUUACAUCCUCGAGGAAAAGCGUAAUUGAAAUGAAAUUUAAAAGCAAAAUUUUCCCAUUUAAUUGCUGUAAUAAUUUUUAGGUUAAUGUCAACAAUUUUUUUAACACUAUCAAGCUGAUGGCGAUGGUGAUGAGACCGGUGCAGACAAAAAUUGUCACAAAUUUGAAAAUUGAUGGCAAUAACAUUUGACUGAAAUGAUGUGAGAAAAUGCUGUCAACCAAUUUAAAGUGGAUAAAUUAAAUUGUUGAAAUCUUUCAAUCUUUCAAUGUUGA
Long non-coding RNA from Tetranychus urticae (two-spotted spider mite), 1134 nucleotides. RefSeq lists it as uncharacterized. Lineage: Eukaryota; Metazoa; Arthropoda; Arachnida; Trombidiformes; Tetranychidae. The record is from RefSeq and is a predicted model, not a curated record.